UACGUAGGCAGCGAGCGUUGUUCGGAGUUACUGGGCGUAAAGGGUGUGUAGGCGGUUUUCUAAGUUUGGUGUGAAAUCUCCCGGCUUAACCGGGAGGGUGCGCCGAAAACUGGGAGACUAGAGUGCGGGAUGGGAGAGUAGAAUUCCUGGUGUAGCGGUGAAAUGCGUAGAUAUCUGGAGGAAUACCGGUGGCGAAGGCGGCAUCCUGGACCGGCAUUGACGCUGAGGAGCGAAAGCCAGGGGAGCAAACGGG
Molecule: ribosomal RNA, 253 nt
Filed under: uncultured bacterium
Lineage: Bacteria
Description: partial 16S ribosomal RNA
Rfam family: Bacterial small subunit ribosomal RNA
Source: RNAcentral